This 253-nucleotide ribosomal RNA is filed under the name uncultured bacterium. Its description in RNAcentral is "partial 16S ribosomal RNA". It matches the Rfam family "Bacterial small subunit ribosomal RNA", at positions 524 to 776 of the family's 1533-position model. The record is from RNAcentral.
GACGUAGGUGGCAAGCGUUGUCCGGAUUUAUUGGGCUUAAAGGGUGCGUAGGCGGCCCUGUAAGUCAGUGGUGAAAUACCCCGGCUUAACCGGGGGGGUGGCAUUGAUACUGCAGGGCUUGAGUACAGAUGAGGUAGGCGGAAUUGACGGUGUAGCGGUGAAAUGCAUAGAUAUCGUCAAGAACACCGAUAGCGAAGGCAGCUUACUGGGCUGUAACUGACGCUGAUGCACGAAAGUGUGGGGAUCAAACAGG